This is a long non-coding RNA of Daphnia pulicaria, 2172 nucleotides long. RefSeq lists it as uncharacterized. Lineage: Eukaryota; Metazoa; Arthropoda; Branchiopoda; Diplostraca; Daphniidae. The record is from RefSeq and is a predicted model, not a curated record. The transcript is spliced from 5 exons.
AAAACCGGGAAAUCCCCCACAGAAUGCAGACUACAAUUCAACGAACAACACAUGAAAGUUGAAACUGUUUUUUUUUUUUCAAUUUUUGAGAGUGCAAAAUUUAUAUUACUAGAAAUCAUCGAUCAAACUUACCAGGAAAUAGUUUGCGAUGCACUUCACAACCGACAUUCGACUCUUUUGGCAGAAUCACGUGCGCAGGUGAGGAUGACACGGACCAAUAAGACACGACCGUGACUUUGACCGCUCCCAUCGUGAAUGAGACAAAAGUUUCCGUGGGCCAGCCGCCAAGAGCCAUCAAAAUCUGACAUUAGCUGUAAUCACGGCCGUCCCAGCCUCGUCCUUUCAACCCUCCCUGCCUCCCAUCACGAAACAAAUGCCGCCAGUAGAUGAAUGAAAGAUGAUCAAUCAGCUUCGCCAAUUUGCCAAUCACGCGGGAUUAACGGGAACGCGAAAUGGAUCAUCGAAACGCAUCGCGGCAGUUCAUCAAAGUACAAAGUUGAGAGCGAAACACGCGCCAACGCCCCAACGAUGAUGAUGGGAUCUGCCGUAAUAAUCACCCUUCAACUGAUUGUGCGGGAUAUUGCCCCCAGGGCUGAGUACCGCAACGAUGGGACGUAGACCAACCGGGAGCAGCUGUUGCAGUAAACACAAACGAGCGGCGGGAAUAUAGAAAGAAAAAAAAUGGUCGGCCUGAUUUCUCGGAAUAUAUACACCGCCGCUCCGAAAUGGAUCCCACAUCAGCUGAUCGUCUACUGGGUUACUGUGCUGACAAACUGCGAAAGGCUAUACCCCCUCAAGUCCUACUAUACUACAUGUACACGCAAAACUGUGGGAAUAAUUAUAUAUCUAAGCCGAUAUAGUUCCGCAGGGAGAGAAGACUCCCUUUGAUACAAGGGGAACACAUAGGGCUAAAGUUUAGAACGCCGAAACUGCGUUGUCGUGAUCUAUAGAGAGGCAAAUAUAUAAUCCCGGCCCGGUAAAAACAGGAAUAAAGUUUGGAAGAUCGUGACAACAAAAGAUUUAUAUCAUCCCGAAGGGAUAGAUAGAAACUGGAAAAUCAACAACAAUAACAGCAGCAGCAGGAAUAAGCGAAACGACAUCAAAAGAUGAGGGACGACGACGGGUAUGCAAAUAUGUCUACACACAAAAGAGCUUUUUGCCAAUAGGCAUCAGAGACCUUUUAAUAUUGUGUAAUCUAGUAGAGGAGAAAUUCCAACCCCCCUCUUUUUAAAAUUAUUUAUUGGGCAGAUAUAUCCGGCAAUGAAUGACUUCCGGAAUAAUCGAUUGAUGAAGAAAUGACAGAGAGAGCCCAUUUCGAUGAUGACAGAUAUCCCGUCUAUAGUAUAUUCGUUCCGGAAGUAAAAUAGCGGAGCUCUAUCGUCCGUGCAGAAGAGAAGAAAAAAGAAAGAUGAAUGAUGUUGAUUGAACAAUUCUUAUCUAUCCGGAAAGCGGAUGUGAGAAAGUGAAAGUUAUAAGCCGGUCGAUCAUUAUCAUCAUCAUCAUCAUCAUCAUCACGGUCUCCAUUUCUUUUGAAAUGUGACGAGUAUAGUAUAACCCCGCGGCAGGGGUGAAUCAGUUCAACUAUGUUGAUAACCCACAGACCCGAUGAUACCCUUAAUCUUUUCAAUUUGAAAUUACCAAAGAAAUUUUAAAAAUAACGAAUAUCGAAAAUAGAGAGUGUCGGGGUUGGGGUUCACACAUUUUUGGGUUUUGCUAGCCGUUCCUCUUUUUGAUUGCGUAACAGGUUUAGGCAUGGCCAAAAGAAUAAUUUGUCUCUCUCCCUCCGCUGGCGGCCAGUCUUUUAUCCAACUCCAGGCGUGUCGCAUAUUCAUUUGGUGAUGAUGCAAAUGUCAUGCAAAUUUUACCCGUGAAAGUGUUAAAUGACCAGCAACACCAUCUACUUUGGUAAGUCGCGAUUCAUUUUUUGAUUUAUAUUCCACCUCGAUGCCCAUUUGAAGGUUUCAUUAUAUUUCGUUGUCAUGGAGACUCCAUUUGAUGACGAUGUACGUAAACGAACGUAGCGAUGACAAUCUCAUUCACAAAGCUGAGCUAACUUACAUUGGCACAAAUGGUGUGUUGCCUAGCUAUAGAGACACCGCCUUGUUUUUCUGCCCGAAAUAAUUGUAUUUGCUUUAUGAUCGAGCAUAGAAAAUGGCGUAAAAAAACAUUAAA